This 130-nucleotide small nucleolar RNA is filed under the name Saimiri boliviensis boliviensis (Bolivian squirrel monkey). Its description in RNAcentral is "Small nucleolar RNA SNORA73 family (ENSSBOG00000014191.1)". Lineage: Eukaryota; Metazoa; Chordata; Mammalia; Primates; Cebidae. The record is from RNAcentral.
GUGAGACUCUGUCUCAAACAAACAAAACAACAACAAUUAUAUAUAUAUCAUGUCUGCGCCUGCAUAUUCCUACAGCUUCCCAGAGUCCUGUGGAUGAUGACUGGGGAGACAAACUGUGCAGGAAACAUGU